GGGGCCUUAGCUCAGCUGGGAGAGCGCCUGCUUUGCACGCAGGAGGUCAGCGGUUCGAGCCCCCUUGGCUCCA
Molecule: transfer RNA, 73 nt
Filed under: Bacillus spizizenii
Lineage: Bacteria; Bacillati; Bacillota; Bacilli; Caryophanales; Bacillaceae
Description: tRNA-Ala
Rfam family: tRNA
About the family: Transfer RNA (tRNA) molecules are approximately 80 nucleotides in length. Their secondary structure includes four short double-helical elements and three loops (D, anti-codon, and T loops). Further hydrogen bonds mediate the characteristic L-shaped molecular structure. tRNAs have two regions of fundamental functional importance: the anti-codon, which is responsible for specific mRNA codon recognition, and the 3' end, to which the tRNAs corresponding amino acid is attached (by aminoacyl-tRNA synthetases). tRNAs cope with the degeneracy of the genetic code in two manners: having more than one tRNA (with a specific anti-codon) for a particular amino acid; and 'wobble' base-pairing, i.e. permitting non-standard base-pairing at the 3rd anti-codon position.
Source: RNAcentral